This 461-nucleotide ribosomal RNA is filed under the name uncultured bacterium. RNAcentral describes it as "bacterial SSU rRNA". It matches the Rfam family "Bacterial small subunit ribosomal RNA", at positions 28 to 517 of the family's 1533-position model. The record is from RNAcentral.
GACGAACGCUGGCGGCGUGCUUUAGACAUGCAAGUCGAACGAGAUCUUCGGAUCUAGUGGCGAACGGCGGAGUAAUACAUAAACAACGUGCCCGAAGACUGGGAUAUACGGUCGAAAGGCCGAGCAAUACCGGAUGUGGCCGAGACUAGGCAUCUAGACUCGAUUAAAUGGUUUUCCGCUUCAGGAGCGGUUUAUGACUCAUCAGCUAGUUGGUAGGGUAAUGGCCUACCAAGGCUACGACGGGUAGGGGGUCUGAGAGGAUGAUCCCCCCGAGUGGGACUGAGACACGGCCCACACACCUACGGGUGGCAGCAGUUUGGAAUCUUGCCCAAUGGGGGAAACCCUGAGGCAGCGACGCCGCGUGGAGGAUGAAGGAUUUAGGUCUGUAAACUCCUUUUGCCAGGAAAGACUUAGGACGGUACCUGGCGAAUAAGCUCCGGCUAACUACGUGCCAGCAGCCG